UGGGGAAUAUUGGACAAUGGGCGAAAGCCUGAUCCAGCCAUGCCGCGUGUGUGAAGAAGGUCUUCGGAUUGUAAAGCACUUUAAGUUGGGAGGAAGGGCAGUAAGUUAAUACCUUGCUGUUUUGACGUUACCGACAGAAUAAGCACCGGCUAACUCUGUGCCAGCAGCCGCGGUAAUACAGAGGGUGCAAGCGUUAAUCGGAAUUACUGGGCGUAAAGCGCGCGUAGGUGGUUUUGUAAGUUGGAUGUGAAAGCCCCGGGCUCAACCUGGGAACUGCAUCCAAAACUGGCAAGCUAGAGUACGGUAGAGGGUGGUGGAAUUUCCUGUGUAGCGGUGAAAUGCGUAGAUAUAGGAAGGAACACCAGUGGCGAAGGCGACCACCUGGACUGAUACUGACACUGAGGUGCGAAAGCGUGGGGAGCAAACA
Molecule: ribosomal RNA, 427 nt
Filed under: uncultured bacterium
Lineage: Bacteria
Description: partial 16S ribosomal RNA
Rfam family: Bacterial small subunit ribosomal RNA
Source: RNAcentral